CAGCUAUAUUUCCAAAAAUCAGAAUUAGUGUCUGGAAAACUGUCCCAACUACUAAUUUUUCUUCAGUGCCAGCAUGCUUCUUAUCCUUUGAAAUGUCCUGCAGAAGCAAUCAUGGAAGCAGCAGACAAGAUUCAGUCAUUUUACAGCAGUUCUUGAAGAAAUUGCUGGUGCCAUUAGCGGGAGUGUAGCUGAUGAAUUUAGACCCAAGGUGAGUUUCUGUCCACUCAGCUGCAGAUGUGCAGUCCAGCUGAAGAGCCUAAAUCAUGCUGAUUCUAAUGCUCGAUGACAAAAAACAUCAAAAGGAUUUUUCCAGUACGUGAUGAGAGAAGAGAAGAAUUAAAAGGAGAGUUUGCUUAUGUCCAAGUAACAUCCAAAAGAGAACAGGAAAUAAUUAAAAUGAAGUGCAGGAAGAGGUGUCUAAACAGUAGUGAUGGGUGCUUUAUAAAUGACUAACAAGAGGAAAGGAAAACCAAGUAUCUUCUGUACAACUGCUAGAAGUAUAUCACCUUUAUUUACAAUUAAUAAAAUAAUAGCAGAAUUUCAUAAAGACACAAAAUAAAAACAGUAUUUUUAACCUUGCUAAUGUUACUGCCUCAUAUUCUAUUAUUGGUAACUCAUAAAUAAUCAGAUUUACCAUUACAAUGUUCUUUGCUUUCUAAAUCUCUACGUGAAAGGACAGUGAAAACAAACUAGUCAGUUCUGUGUUAUCAACUUCACGUUCAGAUUUCCAUGGUUGAACAAAAUGUUAAAGUACUUGAAUUGCAAACACUGCUGGAAUGUGGAAAUGGAAAACCUUUUCUAUGGAAUUUUAAAAAUGUUUACCAAAAGAAAUAAGGAAAGAAAAGAAUUAGAUGUUGAGCCUGUAAAAAUGAGACAGCAGCAAGAGCUUGGAUAAGGAUAAUAAACUAGUCAGGUGAGUGUUGUCUCUUGUUGAUCUGUAGAUAUCAAUGAAACAAGCAGGGGAGCCAUUUCAAAUUCUGGUGGGGGGAGGCCAACCUGUACAUGCCAUGAUGGGGAGGGGAGGAAAGUGAGGGUGGACAGAGGCUUCAACAGUGCUAUUGAGCAUGCUCAGUACAAGCUAAGCACUAAAUGGGGAGGGGGAAUCAACCCCCCCCCCCCAUCAUCUCUAUCCAGGGGCUAGCAAGAUACUGGAAAACUCUACUUUUUUGGCAGACAAUUUAUCAGUUAGCUAGCUGGAGCAUUGUAUCUAAUUCCUGUAUAAAAGAAAGAAAAUUAAAUAGACAUUAGACCCCCUCAGCUCUAACAAUAACAUAUUUUGACAUUUUGUGGCAAGUCACUUAAGGAACACUGGUUAGCCUUAAAAUUUUAGUGUACUGUAUAUUCUUA
This is a non-coding RNA of Pelodiscus sinensis (Chinese soft-shelled turtle), 1347 nucleotides long. The record is from RefSeq and is a predicted model, not a curated record. Lineage: Eukaryota; Metazoa; Chordata; Testudines; Trionychidae.